Molecule: non-coding RNA, 101 nt
Organism: Cerioporus squamosus
Lineage: Eukaryota; Fungi; Basidiomycota; Agaricomycetes; Polyporales; Polyporaceae
Source: the annotation of a GenBank genome assembly
GGCCGCCUGGCGUAAUGGCAACGCGUCUGACUACGACUUGGGCGUUUAACGUUUACGUAAGCUUGAUCAGGAGAUUGCAGGUUCGACCCCUGCGGUGGUCA